GAUGAACGCUGGCGGCGUGCCUAAUACAUGCAAGUCGAGCGAACGCACCAGAAGCUUUCUUCUCUGAUUUUAUCGGCGGACGGGUGAGUCACACGUGGAUAACCUACCUAUCCGACUGGGAUACCUUCACGAAACCGUAUCUAAUACCGGAUAAUAUUUUGAACCUCAUUGUUCCAGCGUUAAAUACGGUCUUUCUUUCACUUAUAGCUUAAUCCGCGCUUCAUUAGCUAGUUGGUAAGGUAACGGCUUAACAAGGCAACGAUGCAUAGCCGACCUGAGAGGGAGGACGGACAGACGGGAACUGAGAAAGGGUAGAGACUCCUACGGGAGGCAACAGUAGGGAAUCUUACGCAAGGGGGGAGAGGGGAAUGGAGCAACGCCGCGGGAGUGAUGAAGGAGUACGGAUCGGAAAACUCUGAAAGUAGGAGAGAACAAAAGUGCAAGUAACUGUGAAGAUAAUGACGGUACCGAAUCAGAAAGCCACGGCUAACUACGUG
This 497-nucleotide ribosomal RNA is filed under the name uncultured bacterium. Its description in RNAcentral is "partial 16S ribosomal RNA". It matches the Rfam family "Bacterial small subunit ribosomal RNA", at positions 28 to 507 of the family's 1533-position model. The record is from RNAcentral.